UAAUAGAGGUUGCAAAUGACAUUAGUAAGCUAAUCGAGUGACUGUUAAACGUUGAGAUUAGUUGAAAGGGGAUUUUGCCGAAAUGCAUUGUUGGAUAACAGCCGGCAAUGGAUUGGGACGUAGUUUAAGAGAUUACGGACUGUCGCAAAUGUUUGCGGAGCGCUAUUAU
This 169-nucleotide non-coding RNA is filed under the name Ligilactobacillus aviarius. RNAcentral describes it as "Lysine riboswitch". It matches the Rfam family "Lysine riboswitch aptamer". Rfam says of the family: Riboswitches are metabolite binding domains within certain messenger RNAs that serve as precision sensors for their corresponding targets. The record is from RNAcentral. RNAcentral also lists the same sequence under 1 other name. Lineage: Bacteria; Bacillati; Bacillota; Bacilli; Lactobacillales; Lactobacillaceae.